GUAUAGGUUUAAUGACUGCUUGCGCAAUCGUUAAAAGACAUUCUGUAACUUUAUAGUGUAUAUGAAAACAUGAUCUUGAACGAAGCAGGAGCAGAGUUUAUUCAGACUCCCAAACCGCACGAAUGCGAGAGGUUUCAAUUCAAGACCACAAGAUGUGCACAAGAGAAGAUAAAUAGAUGGAACGAGCACAUGCCCAGUGAAGAGCCAGCAUCAGUACCAAUCGUAUUCAAUAAUGAUCCUUCCGCAGGUUCACCUACGGAAA
This 262-nucleotide unclassified non-coding RNA is filed under the name uncultured fungus. RNAcentral describes it as "sequence contains ITS1, 5.8S rRNA gene". Lineage: Eukaryota; Fungi. The record is from RNAcentral.